CCUCGAACUAUGUCAAAUAAAUUACAUUGGGUUCUACCUGAUAAAUUAGCGUGAGAGCUUGCAGUCUUGCCAAGGUCAAUGAGGUAACGGAUUGCUAAAUCAGUAAGUGCAUCCAAAGCCGAACCUUUGAAACCCUGAAACCCCAGGGCCCCGCAUAUUUGCGCAACUGCAAUUCUCGACAUCGCCCAACCAAAGUCAUCCGCUUUGGGUCUUCCCUGUGUGCUCUGUGCACCUCCAUUGCUCAUAUUUGAACCCUCAUGUCAAAAAUAAUCCAUUAAUCACCAACCAAUUGAAAUACUAGAAGCCCAAGAACCAUGAGAUACCAAAAUUUUCCUCAGGAAACAAGGAGAGAAAAAGGGAGAAGCUAGUUCUAGAAACACUAAG
RNAcentral lists this unclassified non-coding RNA (384 nucleotides) under Hevea brasiliensis (rubber tree). Lineage: Eukaryota; Viridiplantae; Streptophyta; Magnoliopsida; Malpighiales; Euphorbiaceae. The record is from RNAcentral.